Molecule: transfer RNA, 74 nt
Filed under: Candidatus Zixiibacteriota bacterium
Lineage: Bacteria; Pseudomonadati; Candidatus Zixiibacteriota
Description: candidate division Zixibacteria bacterium tRNA-Val
Rfam family: tRNA
About the family: Transfer RNA (tRNA) molecules are approximately 80 nucleotides in length.
Source: RNAcentral
GGGCAGUUAGCUCAGCUGGUUAGAGUGUCUGCCUUACACGCAGAAGGUCGCUGGUUCGACUCCAGCACUGCCCA